This 1517-nucleotide long non-coding RNA is filed under the name Anas platyrhynchos platyrhynchos (common mallard). RNAcentral describes it as "lncRNA (ENSAPLG00000018939.1)". The record is from RNAcentral. Lineage: Eukaryota; Metazoa; Chordata; Aves; Anseriformes; Anatidae.
AUAACCAGAGCAAGGUCAGCAUUCCCACUUGCUCCUUUCUUUUCUGAGCAGUGUUUUCAUUCACCUCUCCAUGCACAGGUUACUAUUGUCCAGCAGGGACUGCUGCUCCCCUGCCCUGCCCCGAGGGGACACUGAAUGCCUUGGAGGGGGCCCUGGCCCUCGCUGCCUGUAAGCUGUGUCCUGUGGGGAGGUACUGCAGAGGAGAUGCUAACUGGGAACCUGACGGUCUGUGUUCAGCUGGGUACUACUGUGAGGGGGGAGCCACGGAUGCUGUUCCACACGGGACUCCUGGGUUCCCCCUCAGCGGUCCCUGCCCACCUGGGCACUAUUGUCCAGAGGGAACUCCCUUCCCAGUUGCCUGCCCGGUCGGGACCUUGAACAACAGCACAGGUGAGCGUGACUUCACCCCCAGGUUUCUCCUGUAGUCCACAGUGGUGGGGGACUUGGUUACAGGCAGCUGUGGUGCAGGGAUGCCCCUUGGUCACUGCAGGUUAUUGAUACGCUCAGCCAAGCCUGAUAACGGCGAUGUGUUAUCCAUACAAGUAAUGCUUAUGAAACUGAUUGUCCUGGAGAUGCUUCCAUGUCUGCUGCCACUGAUCUGGAGUUCUUCUUUCUUCCUCAGGUGGUAGCUCUCCAGAGAGCUGUGUGCCGUGCUAUCCUGGGUCUUUCUGUGCUAGCCUUGGUUUAAGUUCUCCGACAGGACCCUGUACUGAGGGGUUUUACUGCCCAGCAAACUUCAGCUCGUUCAGCCCCACAGCAUUCCUUUGCCCUAAGGUACUGCUGAGUGAUGUCUGGGCAGUGAAAGAGGUGCGCCUCAGCUCUGGGCAGGAGGCAUUUGUCUUCCACUGGUGGCAGACUCUCAUACGUGCCUGAUUGAAAUGUUGAUUGCAUUCCCAGGGAGUAUUACCCCAGGCUUUGGUAAUGCUGGGAUUCACCCUUACACAGCCCCUAAGUUUGCCACCAUCUCUUCCUUCUCUGUUAUUUCCAGGGUCACUUCUGCCAGUCAGGGGCAGCCCAGCCAGCACCGUGCCCUCCUGGGGAAUACCAGCCAGCCAGCGGCUCUGCGUCCUGCAUUCCGUGCCAGAGAGGAUUCUACUGCCAGGACCUGGUGGCAGGAGACCCCAGGCGCUGCCCACCUCAUUCUUACUGCCCCCCAGGCACACGGUUUCCUCAGACCUGUCCUGAAGGCACCUUUACUCCUCCAAACAUGACUGGCCUCUGGAAUGAGAAGGAAUGCCUGCCUUGCUUACCUGGCCACUACUGCAGGUAGUGACUGUUCAUCUCAAUCUGGUGUUUUUGCACUUUGUCUUAAGCACUUAGGCAUCCUUGUUUUUUGCUGAUAAGUCAAUGCUAAGUUCCUCCCAGCUUCUCUAUCUUCUCUCUCUCAAAGAAUUAAUUAUAAGCCCAGACACAGCUUUUGGGUACAGAGGUGUUGGAUCUGUGAAUUUGGAGAGAGAUCUUGAAGCAGUCUGGCAUUGCCAUGAUGUAAUAAAGGUAAAGGAGCAUCUGAAAGAGAG